RNAcentral lists this transfer RNA (51 nucleotides) under Adenanthera microsperma. RNAcentral's name for it is "partial tRNA-His". The record is from RNAcentral. Lineage: Eukaryota; Viridiplantae; Streptophyta; Magnoliopsida; Fabales; Fabaceae.
AUAGUAUAGGGGCGGAUGUAGCCAAGUGGAUCAAGGCAGUGGAUUGUGAAU